AACCCCCAGCUAGGCUGGGGGUUCAGUAAAGCUUUCAGCUUUGGGUCAGUUAUAAAAACCCCUUUUGAUUUGUUAAAACAGUUUGCGGUCUGGCAACUGACAAAUUGUUCAACAAGAAAUCAAAAG
This 126-nucleotide small RNA is filed under the name Yersinia pestis subsp. microtus bv. Caucasica. RNAcentral describes it as "Hfq binding sRNA". It matches the Rfam family "STnc490 Hfq binding RNA". The record is from RNAcentral. Lineage: Bacteria; Pseudomonadati; Pseudomonadota; Gammaproteobacteria; Enterobacterales; Yersiniaceae.